Molecule: ribosomal RNA, 429 nt
Filed under: bacterium
Lineage: Bacteria
Description: partial 16S ribosomal RNA
Rfam family: Bacterial small subunit ribosomal RNA
Source: RNAcentral
UAGGGAAUCUUCGGCAAUGGGGGCAACCCUGACCGAGCAACGCCGCGUGAGUGAAGAAGGUUUUCGGAUCGUAAAGCUCUGUUGUAAGAGAAGAACGUGUGUGAGAGUGGAAAGUUCACACAGUGACGGUAACUUACCAGAAAGGGACGGCUAACUACGUGCCAGCAGCCGCGGGAAUACGUAGGUCCCGAGCGUUGUCCGGAUUUAUUGGGCGUAAAGCGAGCGCAGGCGGUUUAAUAAGUCUGAAGUUAAAGGCAGUGGCUUAACCAUUGUUCGCUUUGGAAACUGUUAAACUUGAGUGCAGAAGGGGAGAGUGGAAUUCCAUGUGUAGCGGUGAAAUGCGUAGAUAUAUGGAGGAACACCGGUGGCGAAAGCGGCUCUCUGGUCUGUAACUGACGCUGAGGCUCGAAAGCGUGGGGAGCAAACAGG